CGCUCGGUCUCGGGAGCGGCAGCCUGGCCGCUGCCCUGCGGCGCGCGGCUUCUUCCCUUCCCGCGCACCGACACGACCCGAGGAUACCCAGAGAUGAGUGAGCAGUGCUCUGACCAAAAUAGGAAGACCUAUUGCACAUUUUUGUAGCUGGCCAGUUUAUGAAGGAGGACUCCCACGAAAGUGGUAAUGCCCUAGCAUAGAAGUGAUUUCUGCUAUCACUAAGAAAUUGAUGGUGAUGGAGGUGCAGCAGACUAUUUGGAGAACAGCUACAAAGGCAAGUUAAACUAACUUUUAUGAUACAAGCCUGAUGUUAGCUAUGAAGAUUUUUUUUCCCUUAGGAAACUACUUAGCAUUUUUUAAAUUAAUUUAAGAUUUCUUGCUUGUUAAAACAUUGUUGAAGAUUGUUUAAGACAAUGAAACACCUAUGGAGUUUUGCCUCAGAGUUAGUGUAGGAAUCCAUCAGUCAGAUACUUUGCAUAAAAAUUAAGUAUUAGUUUACAAUAGAGAGCAUCUUGGGUUUGUUUCAAUGUUUCAAUUGUAAUCCACAGCAAAAAUUGAAAGUUAGUAAACAGUCAUUCCGUAAUGCUUCACCGGAACUUCUAGAUUAUUUUACUAAAUCUGAGAUUAAUUUUGCCUUCCGCAGUAGGGGAGUCCUGACCCAGUAGACCAGCAGAGGGCAUGAGUCCCCCUCGUGCCCUUCCUGGGGUUCUGACCAGGCCCACCCUUUGUAGGAGCUGAAUCCUAGUGGGUAGCUGCAAGUUUGUCUGACCUGAAUCCACAAAAAGUAGGAAGAUAAUUCUUUUAGGUUGAAAGGUUCAAAAUUAGACAGGACUCCUUGAAUUAGAAAAAAAUCAAGCAAUUUCAGUGCAAUAUUUUAGCCAUGUGUUAAGGGAGGCUAGUUGAAAGUUCUUAAUGCCAGCCACCAUCAUGAGCAUUAGCUUCAGGCCUCUGAAUAGCCUCAGAGGAUAAUCAGGAGUAAAAUACUUUGCACUGUGAUGAAGUUAUGGGUAACUGAUGUAAUGAGGAUGUGAACAGAAAAGGUAACCAUUUUUCAAAUGGAUCACCUGUUAGAGAUCUUCUGUUAGCCAGGAAAAAAAAAAAGGGGGGGCGGGGGGUGAAUGCCAGACUCUGCUUUUAACCUUCUCUUAAGAGUAAUAAGGGUUGUAAUUGGCAGUUGGGAGAUGGAUCUAGGGUUUUUUUCUCCAGCUAGCUUUACUCCAUAAGGUGUCAGAGUUACUGAGAGCUCUCAGUAUGUUUGGAAACAAAUCAAAAUGCACCACCUUGCUUUGGCAGGGGGAAGAAAAAGGGGAAAAAAUAGAGACAUGCUUGUUAGGCUGUCAGUGUUAUUACAGUUUAGACUGUCCUUGAUGUCACACACGUUUAAAUGGGAAGAGUGGUAAAGCUGGAACCAUAUGAAGCUAUACCUGACUGUGCCUCUAGAGCAACUACCCAAACCCACUCUUCAAGCACACUGCCUCAAAAAUGCAGCAGCUAAUUUUUUAAUCAUUACAAUCAGGGUGCCUAGCUAAGGUAUCCUUCUGAAGUGUUAGUUGUCCAAAGUAGGUAAAAAUAUGCAAAUAAAACUUGUUGCUGUACUAGAAAAUUCAAGAUUUGUUUGCAGAGCCACACAGAGAGCUUUGAAAAUGUGACUGGAAAAUGAAAUGGAAGAUGUAGAUUUAUAACAAUCAGACUAGAAAUAGUGAGUAAAUAAAUGAGAGACUGACAGAAAUAAAAGUUCUGCUGUGUAAGAUCUCAGUAGAUUAAGUUCAGUUUUCCAGCUUAAUGAGCCUUGACACUGCAUACCCUCGAGAUCUGUAAAUCUUUUAAGGUGAUUUACCAUUUUCUUAAGGGAGUCACACUUGCAAAGUUUCUUAUGAUCAGACAAAUGUAUCUGUCUGGACAUAAAGGCUAUAUUUCAAUAGGAAUCAUACGUACAUUACCUUAAUUCUUGAUUUAAUAUAUGAUCUAUUCCAGCUGAUUAUAGGUAAUUUUGGCCAAGGUAAUAAGCAGUCAGUUGUUCAGAUAGUUCUGUGGGCAGUUGUCACAGCACCUCACUUCCUGUCCAGUGAGCUAAGAACACUUUCCAAGAGUGCAGAAUAUAUCUUGAAAAAUGAGAUACUGACUUAUAUAUAUCAAGAUACUUUAGGGAUUCAAGGAAAGCAGAUUGUGAAGGUAUUAGUUUGUCAGCUCUCUUCUUUCCGAGAAGCUUUUAAUUUUAAUUUUAUUAACAUUAUGUUAGUCUUUACAAUUUCCCUGAAGAAAAGAAUACCCUUUAGAAGUAAUGAUUUUCUUAUUAUUUAUUGUGGUUAAGAAGGUUUAAAUGUAGCAAUCUGUGCCCACUUAACGUAUUGGGUUAUUUUAUUCUAUUCCAUUUUUCUCUAUACUGUUGUUUAACUCAUUUGAAUGUUAUAAACAGGUACUGGAGAUUGAGGAAAAUUACAUCUAUUUUCCGACCUGUUUGCUAAUAUAAUAUUUACAUCACUUGUAACUAGCUAACCCAUUGUCAUGACCUUCAGCUGUUUACAUCAGGUCUUAAUUUUAUCAUUUUCUCGUCUGUAACUAUGGCUGCACUGAUUAAUUUAACAAUGCAAGGUGUGUCUGAUUACUUCCUUUGGAAGACGGAGAAUGUCACUGCGUCCACUGUAAGCCUGAAUCUCAGGAAGUGUAUUAAUCAAUGUAUAAUGCUUGUUGUAGCUGUACUUCAGAGCUGUGCACUUUUGUUAGAUUCAAUAUCUUGAUUUUUCCCCUCAGUAGUCCUGUCCUUCUUUGCUUGGCUUUAUAUUUAGAGGUUAACAACAACAGAUACGCAGAGCUAGAGCUUUCUAGUGUAACUGAAAAGAUGAAAUAUGGAUAAAGUGAACUGAUGCCUUUUCCAUCACAGGUUAUAUAUGAGAUUUAAAUCUGCCCAUAAGGAUGGGGGAGGGGAAAACAGUGGUUUAUAAUCCAACUCAGUUAAAGAGCAGUGCUUUAGCAAGUAACACGGGUGGAACUUGAAGAAUACCUCUCUACACAGCGAGAGCUCCUUACCAGAAUAGCAAAAAUCCAACUUUAUUUUUAUUAGCUUUCCCAAGAUCUAGAAGGUUUCAAUCUGUUAGUAACAUAAAAGCCAAAUUAGUGUGACUUUUAGGGCGUACAGUUCAUAAGAGUUGUCCAAGAGAGGCCCAGGAGCAAGGCGUAUGCUGACUCAGCUGUCUUUGCACAUAGUCAUGUCUGCUUUAGCAAGUAGAUUAGUCCAGAAGCAGCCCAGCAGCAGAGCAGAAGUUAUGAGAAUGUCAGAUGCCCAGCACCAAUGCACAUUUCAGGAGUUUCACGUUCACCUGAUGCAAUGUAUGAUUCUUUAAAGAAAAGACUUUCUUAGGGUGUCUGUGGCAGCAUUCAUAGGAUCAUAGAAUGGUUUGGGUUGGAAGGGACGUUAAAGAUUGUCUAGUUCCACCCCCCCUGCCACAGGCAGGGACCCUUUCCACUAGAUCAGAUUGCUCAAAGCCCCGUCCAAAGUAUUCUCAUGCUUUUCUGUUCUACUUGUAUGAUUUCCUUAAAAUGCUGAUUCUUCUAGUUUGACAAACAAUAGUUAAAAUACUGUUUAAAAAUACUUCGCUUUUGAUAGAAUCUCAGUUAUGAAGUAUUCAGUAUUUUUUUUUCACAUUGCAUCCUUCUGUCCAGCAUCUUGGUAUUCAAGCCGGCAUGACUCUAAUAUUAUAAAAUCUCAGGGGUUUAAUUGAUUUACCACUAAAGUUGCUAUGUAAACAACACAAUCAUUGGAAGUAAGUGAUUCCACAGGGAAUUAUUCUGAAGAAAUUAAUAUCUGGAAAAAUAAGGUUAACACAUUUUCUUUUUAUCUGAAAGACCAGUACACAUACUGCUCAAGAAUUCUGGGAAGCAAGCGUGAACUGCUUUGUGCUACUGCUGCCUCAUUUAAUGCUGACAUGACUGCAGCUGUGAGCUGUAUUGUAAGCAUCUAGGUAUAUACAAAUUACUCCUAUAAACGGAUGCAAUUUCAGAAGUGGUAAGAGUUCCAUGACAGUGGACUAACACAAUACACUUAGCUUCACAGAGUUCUAAUUCUGAAGUAUGGAAGAGAAUCCAGAUGAGCAGGCAGUUUACAAAUAAUGGCACUGAUGGAGCAGCAAGACCUUUCACAACAAUCUUAGCCCAUAUGGGUAUUACAAGGCAGGAUAGAGGAUACAUGAAGUAAUGGAGGAAUGUUUUUAGGAAACAGUUGUAAUAGAAUUGCACUGCCAUUACCAUAGAAGUUGGCACGACAGAGUCCUCCAGUUUCUUGUACCUUUGCGCUAAUCAACUUUUCACUUUCUCAUUUAAUCUGCUUUAUAAAUCCAUUUUUGUUUUUGUAGCCACUUGUGCUUCUACUAAAUUCGAGUUUUGAGCUUGUAUGCUAUAAGACUCAAACCAACCUCAUAUGGUUGGGUUUUUAACUUGAAUGUUGUACUCUAAAAUGUGGCACCCCACCCAUUGGCUGUAUACAAAAGAAGGUUUUAAAUUAACAGGAGAGUUAACAUUCUUCCAAACCUCAGUCUGGAGAAUGUAUAAUUAUUCUAAGUCAUUGUUAGAAGCUAUUUUAAAAGGAAAUGUUGCCUGCCUUCUGAGGUUUUUCUACAUACAUAUACUUGGGCAUGUCAGCCUUUCUUUAAAACUACAGCAUUAUUAUUCUUGGUAGAAUAAGCAGCAGUAGCACACUUCAAAGUACAGAAAGUAAGACAAGCAGCUAGGCUCCUCCAAGUUUAUAUUUCUACCUUGCCACUGACAUUGUAUAGAGCUUCAGUUAUCCUGGGUCUCAUUAUUUAAAUCUGUAAAAUUGAGCUUUCAGUUUUUAAACCUAUGCAGCUGUUGCAGUGAUUAUUUUUUUACAUAAAAAUGUACUUUCUUCGGUAAACUGCUGAAUCUCAGGUAUUAGAUAGUUUUAUACAUUUUUCUUUGUUACCUUUUAGAGACUGUAGGAAUGUACUGGUUUAACUGAGGACAGAACCUGUCCUGUAGUGAAUAUUGAUUAUAUUUUAUUUAUAUUUUCUCAAGAGUGAAGCUUCUCUGGCUGUCAGUUGAAACAUUUCAGUAUUGAACUUACUGCCAUUCUUUCCUAUUCUCAAAGGGUCUCCCAAAUCAUUACCUCUAAAAAAUAUUUUAAUCAAUAACCCACUUUUUUCUUGCCGAGAAAAAAAAGGUUGUCUUAAUUAAAUUUUAUUUUUACUAUAAAAAUAUAACCCACUUGAAAUAUGUAUGGUCCCGUCUUAUAGUAAGUCAAUCAGUUUUAAAUAAACCCUCCCCUAACUAGGCUGUCUGAUCUUUACUUCUGGUGCCUACUCUUGAUUCAACUUUUUUCCAGCCACAGGCCCCUUACAAGACGUCCUUCUGUUAACAGAACAGGAAGUUCCUUAUCUUAUAAAAUUGUGUGACUCCAAAUUUAAUUAUAUGCUUUAAGUGGAUAGAAAAUAUGGCUUGCUCAAAGAGAAAUUACCUGGGCUGGUACAAGAAAUUUCAGGGCCUACGCCAUACAAGUCAGAUGAGAUGAUGUGACCUUCAACUCUUUGAAUAAAUGACAAGUGUCUUAAGCUUAAGAAGAAAAGACGAUGGGCAGAAGCCAAAAGAAAGUGAUGAAAAACAAAAUUCAAAGACCCAAAAAAAUCAUAAGCAGCAGCCUACCAGUAAGCAGUUACACCUGUUUCAAUAGUGAACCCUCUCUAAAGGAUUGUGCUGCUCAGUGUUCUCACAUAGGUUCCUAAGUCCAGUAUUUCAAGUAAAAUUGGGACUGCUGCAGCUCCUCCUCUUCCUUCAACUUGCAGUCAUAAUGAUCAUAAAAGGAGCCACCUAAUUCCAGUCCUUCCAGUUAUGGGGUAAUCAGCUAAUUAUGCAGACUACAGAAAACUGAAGGGGGAUGCAAUAUAUGUGCUACAGUACAAAAUAUUUCUUUCUUUAUGUGAAAAAAGGUGAUUGCUUGGUGCUUAUAUUAUUUAGUGUUUUCUUUCUGUGCAAAGGAAGAUGCAUUCCCUUUCCUAGGAUCAGGGAUGAAGUCAUUACAGAGAAUUAACUACUUUGCUUUACAUUUUAAUUCUACUUCAUUGCAUGCAUAUGCAAAACACAUUUGCACACAUACAUAGGCAAACUAUUUAUUAUUUCAGCAAAAAAUAAUAAAUGAAAAAUACUACUUGAUUGGAGGUGAAGAAAAUGAACCUUCAGCAUCAUCUCAACUCACACUUAUCCUUGAACAUCCAUGCAUUUGAAAGAGUGAUGUUAAAGUAGUGAUUUUUGGUUUUUUAGAGAAAUACUAUACAGUUAUUUACUUUGAUGGCUGUCAGAAAGAACAAAAUCUAAACAAAACAAUCAGUAUAGUAUUUUACAGAAUAAAGAUUAAUUAGAAUUGCUUAUGUAAUUAAGUUUGGGUAUGCCUCCCCUUGACCCUCCAUUCUAAAUAAGACUUGGACACAAGCAAAGAUUAUCUGUUCCUGGCAAAUCCUUCCUAGGGAUUACAUGGCACAUAAACUUAUAAGGGUUUAUCUUUUCUUCUGUCUGAGAAAGGAAAUAACUAGAGCAGUAUUAAAACAUUAAUGUGGCAUGAAAGAAUUCCAAACAGAAUUAAGAAGUUAAAAGGUUACGAUUCUCACAGGAAUAUCAAAUCACCAUUAAGUUAAAGUUUGCAGAUCUUAUGUGCAGACCACACAUAAAAUUCAGAAUACUCCAUCUAUGCAGUACUGUUUUGUUCUGUGAAGUAAGAAUGUCAUGUAUGCAUAAGCUAUUUAUUUUUAAAGAUAAUCUGAAUACGGACAGCAUAAAAUUUUGUAUGCAGCACCAUGCUAUUCCUAUUUUUUGGGAUGCUAUAGUCACAAAACAAAGCUAGGCAAAAUUCCUACCAUUCAAUAUAAUUUAAACUAAAAUAUGGUAAAGUAACUCUGAGACAAUUAGAAUACGCUAUGUUUUAUACUAUAAGAAGGUAAAAAUGUAUUUAGUACUUGCCAUUUGAAAAAUUUUCAUGAUCACUGUAAAAUGGCUAUUUGGGAAUAUGUCUGUUAUUUCUGCAACCUUUAAAAGGCUAAUCAGUGAAAGCUACAACCUAAAUUUGAAACUAAGAAGUUACCAAAGGCGGCCUUAGAGGAAUGAACUGCUUUGUUACUAGGCACCAUUUGACUGCUAGUUCUUGAGAUCAUCUAUGACUUGAUGCUAUAUAUAUUUUCGGAUAAGUGCUUUAAAGAAUUUAAAUCCGUUGAGCAAGAAUUCACACCUCUAACAGUUGAAGAGAAAACUAUUCUUUUUAAAGCUUUACUAUGACUGAUUCCCAGCUCCUGUUUUUUUCUUGCUGUCCUGUACAUCCUGAUGCCAAUUAGCAAGGCUAAUUACACACAGAGUGGCAAGCUCCCUUAUUCUGUAUAUUAAAUGCAAAAAGAAUGGUGGUUCCAUCACUACUAGUACAAAAGAGGUAGUUCAUGGCAUUUGAAAUAAUUGAUUUUAAGAUGGCAUCUCAUAUGCAGUUAAAGCUUUU
This is a long non-coding RNA of Athene cunicularia (burrowing owl), 7483 nucleotides long. RefSeq lists it as uncharacterized. Lineage: Eukaryota; Metazoa; Chordata; Aves; Strigiformes; Strigidae. The record is from RefSeq and is a predicted model, not a curated record. The transcript has 3 exons.